UUACGGCCAUAUCACGCUGAAACACCGGUUCUCGUACGAUCACUGAAGUUAAGCAAUGUCGAGCAUGGUCAGUACCUAGACGAGCGACUGCUUGGAAAUAUCAGGUGUUGUA
Acanthosepion pharaonis is the source of this 112-nucleotide non-coding RNA. NCBI's taxonomy places the organism in Eukaryota, Metazoa, Mollusca, Cephalopoda, Sepiida, Sepiidae. The record is from the annotation of a GenBank genome assembly.